GGGGAAUAUUGCGCAAUGGGGGAAACCCUGACGCAGCAACGCCGCGUGAAGGAAGAAGGUCUUCGGAUCGUAAACUUUUGUCUUCUGGGAAGAAUAAUGACGGUACCAGAGGAGGAAGCCACGGCUAACUACGUGCCAGCAGCCGCGGUAAUACGUAGGUGGCGAGCGUUGUCCGGAAUUACUGGGUGUAAAGGGCGCGUAGGCGGGAGAGCAAGUCAGAUGUGAAAUACCGAGGCUCAACUUCGGGGCUGCAUUUGAAACUGUUCUUCUUGAGUGCAGGAGAGGAAAGCGGAAUUCCUAGUGUAGCGGUGAAAUGCGUAGAUAUUAGGAGGAACACCAGUGGCGAAGGCGGCUUUCUGGACUGUAACUGACGCUGAGGCGCGAAAGCGUGGGUAGCAAAC
RNAcentral lists this ribosomal RNA (401 nucleotides) under uncultured bacterium. RNAcentral's name for it is "bacterial SSU rRNA". It matches the Rfam family "Bacterial small subunit ribosomal RNA", at positions 356 to 773 of the family's 1533-position model. The record is from RNAcentral.